GACGAACGCUGGCGGCGUGCUUAACACAUGCAAGUCGAACGGAAAGGCCCUGCUUUUGUGGGGUGCUCGAGUGGCGAACGGGUGAGUAACACGUGAGUAACCUGCCCUUGACUUUGGGAUAACUUCAGGAAACUGGGGCUAAUACCGGAUAGGAGCUCCUGCUGCAUUGUGGGGGUUGGAAAGUUUCGGCGGUUGGGGAUGGACUCGCGGCUUAUCAGCUUGUUGGUGGGGUAGUGGCUUACCAAGGCUUUGACGGGUAGCCGGCCUGAGAGGGUGACCGGCCAAAUUGGGACUGAGAUACGGCCCAGACUCCUACGGGAGGCAGCAGUGGGGAAUAUUGCACAAUGGGCGGAAGCGUGAUGCAGCAACGCCGCGUGCGGGAUGACGGCCUUCGGGUUGUAAACCGCUUUCGCCUGUGACGAAGCGUGAGUGACGGUAAUGGGUAAAGAAGCACCGGCUAACUACGUG
This 468-nucleotide ribosomal RNA is filed under the name uncultured bacterium. Its description in RNAcentral is "partial 16S ribosomal RNA". It matches the Rfam family "Bacterial small subunit ribosomal RNA", at positions 28 to 507 of the family's 1533-position model. The record is from RNAcentral.